This 791-nucleotide ribosomal RNA is filed under the name uncultured bacterium. RNAcentral describes it as "bacterial SSU rRNA". It matches the Rfam family "Bacterial small subunit ribosomal RNA", at positions 8 to 796 of the family's 1533-position model. The record is from RNAcentral.
AGAGUUUGAUCAUGGCUCAGAUUGAACGCUGGCGGCAUGCUUUACACAUGCAAGUCGAACGGCAGCGCGGGGCAACCUGGCGGCGAGUGGCGAACGGGUGAGUAAUAUAUCGGAACGUACCCAAGAGUGGGGGAUAACGUAGCGAAAGUUACGCUAAUACCGCAUACGAUCCAAGGAUGAAAGCAGGGGAUCUUCGGACCUUGUGCUCCUGGAGCGGCCGAUAUCUGAUUAGCUAGUUGGUGAGGUAAAGGCUCACCAAGGCCACGAUCAGUAGCUGGUCUGAGAGGACGACCAGCCACACUGGAACUGAGACACGGUCCAGACUCCUACGGGAGGCAGCAGUGGGGAAUUUUGGACAAUGGGCGAAAGCCUGAUCCAGCAAUGCCGCGUGAGUGAAGAAGGCCUUCGGGUUGUAAAGCUCUUUUGUCAGGGAAGAAACGGUGAGGGCUAAUAUCCCUCGCUAAUGACGGUACCUGAAGAAUAAGCACCGGCUAACUACGUGCCAGCAGCCGCGGUAAUACGUAGGGUGCAAGCGUUAAUCGGAAUUACUGGGCGUAAAGCGUGCGCAGGCGGUUUUGUAAGUCUGACGUGAAAUCCCCGGGCUCAACCUGGGAAUUGCGUUGGAGACUGCAAGGCUAGAAUCUGGCAGAGGGGGGUAGAAUUCCACGUGUAGCAGUGAAAUGCGUAGAGAUGUGGAGGAACACCGAUGGCGAAGGCAGCCCCCUGGGUCAAGAUUGACGCUCAUGCGCGAAAGCGUGGGGAGCAAACAGGAUUAGAUACCCUGGUAGUCC